RNAcentral lists this ribosomal RNA (706 nucleotides) under Stenotrophomonas sp. SLO-62. Its description in RNAcentral is "bacterial SSU rRNA". It matches the Rfam family "Bacterial small subunit ribosomal RNA", at positions 65 to 757 of the family's 1533-position model. The record is from RNAcentral. Lineage: Bacteria; Pseudomonadati; Pseudomonadota; Gammaproteobacteria; Lysobacterales; Lysobacteraceae.
AACGGCAGCACAGUAAGAGCUUGCUCUUAUGGGUGGCGAGUGGCGGACGGGUGAGGAAUACAUCGGAAUCUACUUUUUCGUGGGGGAUAACGUAGGGAAACUUACGCUAAUACCGCAUACGACCUACGGGUGAAAGCAGGGGAUCUUCGGACCUUGCGCGAUUGAAUGAGCCGAUGUCGGAUUAGCUAGUUGGCGGGGUAAAGGCCCACCAAGGCGACNAUCCGUAGCUGGUCUGAGAGGAUGAUCAGCCACACUGGAACUGAGACACGGUCCAGACUCCUACGGGAGGCAGCAGUGGGGAAUAUUGGACAAUGGGCGCAAGCCUGAUCCAGCCAUACCGCGUGGGUGAAGAAGGCCUUCGGGUUGUAAAGCCCUUUUGUUGGGAAAGAAAUCCAGCCGGCUAAUACCUGGUUGGGAUGACGGUACCCAAAGAAUAANCACCGGCUAACUUCNUGCCANCAGCCGCGGNAAUACGAAGGGUGCAAGCGUUACUCGGAAUUACUGGGCGUAAAGCGUGCGUAGGUGGUUGUUUAAGUCUGUUGUGAAAGCCCUGGGCUCAACCUGGGAACUGCAGUGGAAACUGGACAACUAGAGUGUGGUUAGAGGGUAGCGGAAUUCCCGGUGUAGCAGUGAAAUGCGUAKAGAUCGGGAGGAACAUCCAUGGCGAAGGCACCUACCUGGACCAACACUGACACUGAGGCACVAA